Molecule: ribosomal RNA, 448 nt
Filed under: uncultured bacterium
Lineage: Bacteria
Description: bacterial SSU rRNA
Rfam family: Bacterial small subunit ribosomal RNA
Source: RNAcentral
UGCCAGACUCCUACGGGAGGCAGCAGUGGGGAAUAUUGCACAAUGGGGGAAACCCUGAUGCAGCAACGCCGCGUGAGUGAAGAAGUCAUUCGUGAUGUAAAGCUCUAUCAGCAGGGAAGAAAAUGACGGUACCUGAGUAAGAAGCCCCGGCUAACUACGUGCCAGCAGCCGCGGUAAUACGUAGGGGGCAAGCGUUAUCCGGAUUCACUGGGUGUAAAGGGAGCGUAGACGGCCAUGCAAGCCAGGGGUGAAAGCCCGGGGCCCAGCCCCGGGACUGCCCUUGGAACUGGAUGGCUGGAGUGCGGGAGGGGCAGGCGGAAUUCCUGGUGUAGCGGUGAAUUGCGUAGAUAUCAGGAGGAACCCCGGCGGCGAAGGCGGCCUGCUGGACCGCGACUGACGUUGAGGCUCGAAAGCGUGGGGAGCGAACAGGAUUAGAUACCCCAGUAUC